Molecule: ribosomal RNA, 404 nt
Filed under: Actinomycetes bacterium
Lineage: Bacteria; Bacillati; Actinomycetota; Actinomycetes
Description: Actinobacteria bacterium partial 16S ribosomal RNA
Rfam family: Bacterial small subunit ribosomal RNA
Source: RNAcentral
UGGGGAAUAUUGGACAAUGGGCGCAAGCCUGAUCCAGCCAUGCCGCGUGAGUGAUGAAGGCCCUAGGGUUGUAAAGCUCUUUCACCGGUGAAGAUAAUGACGGUAACCGGAGAAGAAGCCCCGGCUAACUUCGUGCCAGCAGCCGCGGUAAUACGAAGGGGGCUAGCGUUGUUCGGAUUUACUGGGCGUAAAGCGCACGUAGGCGGAUUAUUAAGUCAGGGGUGAAAUCCCGGGGCUCAACCCCGGAACUGCCUUUGAUACUGGUAGUCUUGAGUUCGAGAGAGGGGAGUGGAAUUCCGAGUGUAGAGGGGAAAUUCGUAGAUAUUCGGAGGAACACCAGUGGCGAAGGCGGCUCACUGGCUCGAUACUGACGCUGAGGUGCGAAAGCGUGGGGAGCAAACAGG